AGAGUUUGAUCAUGGCUCAGAACGAACGCUGGCGGCAGGCCUCAAACAUGCAAGUCUAGGGGGUGUAGCAAUACAUCACCGGCGGACGGGUGCGUAACACGUGGGAAUAUACCUUUUGGUUCGGAACAACGCAGGGAAACUUGCGCUAAUACCGAAUGUGCCCUUACGGGGAAAGAUUUAUCGCCAAAGGAUUAGCCCGCGUCCGAUUAGCUAGUUGGUGAGGUAAUGGCUCACCAAGGCUCCGAUCGGUAGCUGUUCUGAGAGGAAGAUCAGCCACACUGGGACUGAGACACGGCCCAGACUCCUACGGGAGGCAGCAGUUGGGAAUCUUGGACAAUGGGGGAAACCCUGAUCCAGCCAUGCCGCGUGAGUGAUGAAGGCCUUCGGGUUGUAAAACUCUUUCGACGGGGACGAUAAUGACGGUACCCGUAGAAGAAGCUCCGGCUAACUUCGUGCCAGCAGCCGCGGUAAUACGAAGGGGGCUAGCGUUGUUCGGAAUUACUGGGCGUAAAGCGCGCGCAGGCGGUUUUUCAAGUCAGUGGUGAAAGCCCGGAGCUCAACUCCGGAACUGCCGUUGAAACUGUAAAACUUGAGGAUGAGAGAGGUGAGUGGAAUUCCCAGUGUAGAGGUGAAAUUCGUAGAUAUUGGGAAGAACACCGGUGGCGAAGGCGGCUCACUGGCUCAUAUCUGACGCUCAGGCGCGACAGCGUGGGGAUCAAACAGGAUUAGAUACCCUAGUAGUCC
RNAcentral lists this ribosomal RNA (744 nucleotides) under uncultured bacterium. RNAcentral describes it as "bacterial SSU rRNA". It matches the Rfam family "Bacterial small subunit ribosomal RNA", at positions 8 to 796 of the family's 1533-position model. The record is from RNAcentral.